AGGACGGUGCGGGUGCCCCUGUUGUAGCGCUCCAGGGGCCAUUCCUUGCUGCUUGGUGUCCCCCGGGAUGGGGACUAUGAACAGCAGUUUGUUUGGUGCUGCCACAUGAGAACCAGAAUAUCACUCAGUUACUAAGAGUCGGGGUUUGGACAUAAUGCCUUUUCACUUGAAGAGGGAUGAAUGACUACAUCUACCUCCCCAUGCCCCCCAGAAUCCGAUGCUGUGUACCCAGGAGGUGACUGUGCAGUUCGUCUGAAGUGAAAAUGAACUCUGCAUUCUGGCCAUGUGUUUCUCGGUGGUCCCCAGAGCCGUAUUGCCGCAAAAGUGUAUGCUGUCUACACAUAGAAUGGCUUGAGAAUCUGAACGGGUGAUCUCAUCUGAGAGUCUGGGAGCUGCCCAGACCCUGCCAGGUCUGGCACGCAGCCCCAGGGAGAAGACCCCUCAUUGAGCAAGACUUCCAUCCCGGUUCACGAGGUGGGACGGCAGAGUACAGAGAAGUUGGGGACCGUGCCCAGCUGGCAGAGGUCCGAAAGUGAGAGAGAGCCUCCCUCCAGCAGCCACACCAGACAUGUGCAGCAUGUCAAGUUCUAGAGCAGAGACUGAGCCAGAGGCACCACGAGCCAAGAAAUAAGGGAGAGCCUGGGGUAAAAUGUAACACAUAAUUCAGUUUAUGGGAAAGGCCCCAUGAAGGUCAGUCUGAGCUCUGCUGACGAGACCAGUCCUGACCUCUCGUGCCUGAUAGUGAUGAGCCUGUGGUUCUGGCCUCUGCACAGGGAGGAUAUCCAUCCAGUCCCAGAUCCCCACAAGGGGACGCAGAUCCAGGGGAGCAGGCGGGUUGUUGCAAGUGCAAGAGACUCACAGAUCUCAGGCCACCCAGAAAUAACUGGAGCGUAUGCUCUCUAUGGAAGAGCAGGGUCCCAUCCACAGAGAUGCCUGCCAUUGCUACCUGGCCACAGCCAGGCUCUGUACGAACUCAGGGUCUUUGUGGAGGAAUCUCUUGUCUUUCCACAGCUCCUGAACCCAACUUGAGGGGCAGGGGUCAGAGAGAAAAGUACCAUACCUGAGACAGCAAAAAGUGAGCAAAGGGAAGCAGGUGCAGCACGACUGUGUAAACGGAAGGACCCAGCCCUUCCUA
This is a long non-coding RNA of Phyllostomus discolor (pale spear-nosed bat), 1135 nucleotides long. RefSeq lists it as uncharacterized. The transcript has 3 exons. Lineage: Eukaryota; Metazoa; Chordata; Mammalia; Chiroptera; Phyllostomidae. The record is from RefSeq and is a predicted model, not a curated record.